RNAcentral lists this ribosomal RNA (373 nucleotides) under uncultured organism. RNAcentral's name for it is "bacterial SSU rRNA". It matches the Rfam family "Bacterial small subunit ribosomal RNA", at positions 526 to 896 of the family's 1533-position model. The record is from RNAcentral.
CGUAGGCCCCAAGCGUUAUCCGGAAUUAUUGGGCGUAAAGAGCGCGUAGGUGUUUUAUUAAGUCGGUCGUUAAAUCUCACUGCCCAACAGUGAGACCGCGAGCGAUACUAAUAAAAUUGAGUCUUGCAGGGGCUAGCAGAAUUUCUGGAGUAGGGGUGAAAUCCGUUGAUACCAGAAGGAAUACCAAUGGCGAAGGCAGCUAGCUGGGCAAUGACUGACAUUGAGAGCGCGAAAGCGUGGGGAGCAAACGGGAUUAGAUACCCCGGUAGUCCACGCUGUAAACUAUGUCAACUAGCGAUAGGGAGAGUCGACCCUCUCUGUUGCGAAGCUAACGCGUCAAGUUGACCGCCUGGGAAGUACGGUCGCAAGACUA